RNAcentral lists this unclassified non-coding RNA (520 nucleotides) under uncultured Glomus. RNAcentral's name for it is "SSU rRNA". It matches the Rfam family "Eukaryotic small subunit ribosomal RNA", at positions 569 to 1092 of the family's 1831-position model. Lineage: Eukaryota; Fungi; Glomeromycota; Glomeromycetes; Glomerales; Glomeraceae. The record is from RNAcentral.
AGCAGCCGCGGUAAUUCCAGCUCCAAUAGCGUAUAUUAAAGUUGUUGCAGUUAAAAAGCUCGUAGUUGAAUUUCGGGAUCAAUAUGUUGGUCGUGCCUUGGUACGUACUGGCAUUAUUGGUUUCUACCUUCUGAAGAACCUCGAUGUCAUUAAUUUGGUGUCUUGGGGAAUCAGGACUGUUACUUUGAAAAAAUUAGAGUGUUUAAAGCAGGCUCGCGCUUGAAUACAUUAGCAUGGAAUAAUGAAAUAGGACGUUUGAUUCUAUUUUGUUGGUUUCUAGGAUCGACGUAAUGAUUAAUAGGGAUAGUUGGGGGCAUUAGUAUUCAAUUGUCAGAGGUGAAAUUCUUGGAUUUAUUGAAGACUAACUACUGCGAAAGCAUUUGCCAAGGAUGUUUUCAUUAAUCAAGAACGAAAGUUAGGGGAUCGAAGACGAUCAGAUACCGUCGUAGUCUUAACCAUAAACUAUGCCGACUAGGGAUCGGAUGAUGUUAAUUUUUAAUGACUCAUUCGGCGCCUUAAC